Molecule: long non-coding RNA, 2083 nt
Organism: Triticum aestivum (bread wheat)
Lineage: Eukaryota; Viridiplantae; Streptophyta; Magnoliopsida; Poales; Poaceae
Exons: 3
Source: RefSeq, a predicted model, not a curated record
CAUCCCAAUUCACUCCCGAGUCCCGACCUACCCACCCCAUUCCCCAUUUCCCCAUCCGUGCGAGUGCGCCGGCGGCCAGGAGCGGCGGGUGGAGCAUUGCGGCCAAAUCUGCCGCCCCGCUAGCCGCCGGCCAUGGAGGCCGCCGCAGCGCCAGCGGCACCCGUCCCCGACCAGGGGGGUUCCCAUUGGAACGCAUCGAAGGCGGCACGGAGGGGCGACUGCGAUGAGAGCGCCGCCGAUUUCAUCAGCAGGGUCCCCGACGCCGUCCUCUGCACCAUCAUCUCCCUCCUCCCCACCAAGGACGGCGGCCGCACGCAGGUCUUCUCCCGCCGAUGGCGCCCCCUGUGGCGCUCCGCCCCUCUCAACCUCGAGGUCCGCCCAUACCCCGGCCGCGGCGUCCGCACCUCCUCCGUCGCCCCCGAUGUCGUCCCCAAGGUAAUCUCGCAGCAUCCUGGUCCCGCCCGCCGAUUCUGCUUCCACGGCCUCCGCCCCGGCGACCUCCACGACCAGGCGGAGAGCUGGUUCCGCUCCCGAGCCCUCGCCAACCUUGAGGAGCUCGAUGUCGGCUACAAGAUCUACGGUGAAAACGAUUUACAAGAACUUAUUGUGGCGAGAAUUUCCCUGCCGCCAUCCGCCUCGCUCUGCAUCUACCCUCCUCGUUGCCAAGAUCGGCUACUGUGAUUUGCCCCGAGAGAUGGUGCCGUCCAUGGGCUUUGACCUCCUCGAGCAUCUCUCCUUGAUCUCUGUUUCCAUCUCAGCGGACGUCUUCUGCGGACUGCUCUCUGCUUGCCGUGCGUUGGAGAGCUUACACAUGUCCGAACUUCGUGGUGCUCGUUGCCACCAUGUUCGCUCGCCGACUCUUAGGAGUAUCUGCUUCCGUGACACCUCUGGUAAAGUAGAGCUGGUCAUCGAGGAUGCGCCUCGCCUUGUGAGGUUACUAAUGCCUUUUGGUUGCCGAGAUGAUUGUGGUACUAUCCGUGUAAUUUGUGCGCCUAAACUGGAGUUGGGCUUUGUUACCUGUCGUCUCCAAGCUCCUAGCCUCCCAGGGAGUAAGUUCAGCCGACUUGGCAAACUCGAUGCACACGGUGAAGAUUUUGGCUCUUAGGUGUUCCGGGUAUGAAUUGGAUGGAGUUCUUAAUAUCCUUAGGAGGUUCCCCUGUCUCGAGAAGCUCUAUAUCAUUUUUCACAAACACAACGAGACGGAUACGAAAAUCGAGCCUCAAUGUGACCGACUAUAUCCAAUUGAAUGCCUUCAAACCAAUCUCAAAACAGUGGUGUUUGAAACAUUCGUGGGCCAUGAUAAACAGCUUGAGUUUGCCAAGUUUUUUGUUUUGAAUGCAAAAGUGCUAAACAAAAUUGAAUUUGAUGGAAUGUAUGGUGCCUACAACAGUGUAUCGCUGGCUUAUCAACACAGGCUGCUACGAGUGGAAGACAGAGCUUCUCGAGAUGCUCAAUUUGAAUUCAUGAAUAGAAAUCGAUAUACUGUGAAGCAUCUCCAAAAGCAUAUCCAUGAUUUGUCAGUGGCUGACCCCUUCGAACAGCCAUAGGCAGGGUUGAUGCCUGAAGAUUGCACUGUUCUUAGUGUCCUGUGCUUGUUUUGUAGACGAUAUUCAUUCCUUAAGAUCACAUCAUGUUCCACAUAGACCUGCCCUAUUUUCUAGCCUAAGGUUCCUCUGCCAUUCAAGUAACUUAUGAAGUUGCCACUGUUAACACUGCAAGAGAUUCUUUUGGAUGCAAAAACAGUGUGGAAAAUUUCUGAUGGAGAGGGAUGCAAAAACAUCACUGCUGACAGUUGUAACUGGUGACAGCUGGUAAGUGGUAAUCCCAUCUGCCAAAACUCCUACGGGCUAUGGUCUUAACCUGUGCAAUCGUUCGUGGCUUCGCUCUGCCUAAGCCGUGCUAGGAACACAUCCUUGUAUUGAAAACUUAAUUGUCUUUUCAGUUAGUACAUGCAAAAGCAGGAGAUGUUUGAUUGCUGAUCUGUUUUUUUAUUGUGUGUGUGCAUAUAUCAUUUGCUUGCUUUUGCAUAAAGAAUUUGUCCUUUUAGUUAUUAUUAUAUAAAGAAGCACACGAUGUUUGAUUG